AAGAAACACCCACCAUUUCCCCCAGCAAAUCGGCUGGCCUGUGGAGGAGGGUGACAUGCAGCUGUGCCUUGCCCAGCUCUCUGAGCAUGCCAUGGCUCCAACCUGAGGGUCUGUGAGAAGUGCAGGCUACAACUUGUACAAUGCCUAUGAUUAGACAAUACCACCUAUAGAGAAAGCACUCAUGAAAAUAGACAUUCAGGUAGCUCUUCCUUCUCUGGGUGUUAGGAAGAGUAGUUCCAUGGUCUGGCUUGGCUGCAAAACAUUUUAUUGAUGUAGGAGCUGGUGUCAUAGAUGAAAAUUAUAGAGGAAAUGUUGGUGUUGCACUAUUUAAUUUUGGCAAAGUUUGAAGUCAAAAACAGUGAUCAAAUUGCACAGUUCAGUGCUGAAUGGAUUUUUUUAUCUAGAAAUAGAAGUUCAAGCUUCGGAUGACACUGAAAGGUGUUCAGGAGAUUUUGGUUCCACUAGAAAU
RNAcentral lists this long non-coding RNA (469 nucleotides) under Homo sapiens (human). Its description in RNAcentral is "non-protein coding lnc-SNX14-6:1". The record is from RNAcentral. Lineage: Eukaryota; Metazoa; Chordata; Mammalia; Primates; Hominidae.